RNAcentral lists this ribosomal RNA (519 nucleotides) under uncultured microorganism. RNAcentral's name for it is "bacterial SSU rRNA". It matches the Rfam family "Bacterial small subunit ribosomal RNA", at positions 9 to 521 of the family's 1533-position model. The record is from RNAcentral.
GAGUUUGAUCUUGGCUCAGGACGAACGCUGGCGGCGUGCCUAAUACAUGCAAGUCGAGCGAGUCCCUUCGGGGGCUAGCGGCGGACGGGUGAGUAACACGUAGGCAACCUGCCUCUCAGAUCGGGAUAACAUAGGGGAAACUUAUGCUAAUACCGGAUAGGUUUUCGGAUCGCAUGAUCCGAAAAGAAAAGGCGGCUUCGGCUGUCACUGGGAGAUGGGCCUGCGGCGCAUUAGCUAGUUGGUGGGGUAACGGCUACCAAGGCGACGAUGCGUAGCCGACCUGAGAGGGUGACCGGCCACACUGGGACUGAGACACAGCCCAGACUCCUACGGGAGGCAGCAGUAGGGAAUUUUCCACAAUGGACGAAAGUCUGAUGGAGCAACGCCGCGUGAACGAUGAAGGUCUUCGGAUUGUAAAAGUUCUGUUGUCAGGGACGAACAAGUACCGUUCAAACAGGGCGGUACCUUGACGGUACCUGACGAGAAAGCCACGGCUAACUACGUGCCAGCAGCCGCCGU